Molecule: non-coding RNA, 117 nt
Filed under: Gorilla gorilla gorilla (western lowland gorilla)
Lineage: Eukaryota; Metazoa; Chordata; Mammalia; Primates; Hominidae
Source: Rfam by way of RNAcentral
GCCGGGCGCGGUGGCUCACGCCUGUAAUCCCAGCUCUUUGGGAGGCUGAGGUGGGUGGAUCACCUGAGGUCAGGAGUUCGAGACCAGCCUGGCCAACAUGGUGAAACCCCGUCUCCA